Molecule: long non-coding RNA, 532 nt
Filed under: Sparus aurata (gilthead seabream)
Lineage: Eukaryota; Metazoa; Chordata; Actinopteri; Spariformes; Sparidae
Description: lncRNA (ENSSAUG00010012822.1)
Source: RNAcentral
UCCUGGACCCGUUUCAAACCUGACUUUGGUCCCAGAGAGUGACUACAUCAUCGCCACCUGGAACUUCCCAGCGGGCACCGUUCCCACUUUCAAGAUAACGCUCCAGCUGGAUGGUGAAGUUGUACAAACACACAAACAACAGGAAUCUGAGAAGACCUUCACUGGACUGAAGAAUGCAGCCAAUUACACAGUGACCGUCCGCAUCACCAGUGGAGAGCUGGAAAGCCCGGCAGUGAGCAAGUCCACUUACACCAAGCCGGCGUCGCCUAGAAAUCUCAGAGUCGCCUUCUCCAAUCAAAGUCAAAUCACCCUCAAAUGGGAUGCCCCCGACAACGCAGCAGCAGGAGUCAACUACUCCGUCAAGCUCAGCUCCCGCUUCUGGGGCCACUACUUUUCUGAAAAUGUGAAGAAUUUAAACCACACGUUUGAUGCGUUAAAAUCUGGGAGCAGGUACGAAGCUGAGGUGCAAACAGUGGUGGGCAACACGUCAAGUUCUGCGGAAAAGGCUGUGUCCAUACACAGAUGCAAAUAA